This 128-nucleotide small nuclear RNA is filed under the name Chelydra serpentina (North American snapping turtle). Its description in RNAcentral is "U5 spliceosomal RNA (ENSCSRG00000006787.1)". The stretch from base 7 to 74 matches the Rfam family "U5 spliceosomal RNA", at positions 7 to 74 of the family's 117-position model. Rfam says of the family: U5 RNA is a component of both types of known spliceosome. The precise function of this molecule is unknown, though it is known that the 5' loop is required for splice site selection and p220 binding, and that both the 3' stem-loop and the Sm site are important for Sm protein binding and cap methylation. Lineage: Eukaryota; Metazoa; Chordata; Testudines; Chelydridae. The record is from Rfam by way of RNAcentral.
AUACUCUGGUUUCUUUUCAGAUCGUAUACAUCUUUCGCCUUUUACUAAAGAUUUCCGUGGAGAGGAACAUUUACUCAGAACAUGUUGGUCUACAGGACCUUAGUUUAAAAUUUGCUUUAAAAAUAUUU